RNAcentral lists this microRNA precursor (63 nucleotides) under Ptychodera flava. RNAcentral's name for it is "Pfl-Mir-4828-P4_pre stem-loop". The record is from RNAcentral. Lineage: Eukaryota; Metazoa; Hemichordata; Enteropneusta; Ptychoderidae.
CAAUCUCAUUGCGUAUUUUCAUCUGUGCUUUUUGUGCUAACAGUAAAUACCAUUGAGAUUGCA